UUUUCCGGUUAAUCCCGCCGGACCCCACUGCUAUCGAGGUGGGACUAAGCCAUGCAAGUCGAACGACCCCGAACUAUGGCGGGGAAGUGGCAGACUGCUCAGUAACACGUAGUUAACCUACCCUUAGGACGGAAACAACCCCGGGAAACUGGGGCUAAUAUCCGAUAGGAGUGUAAACCUGGAAUGGUUACACUCCGAAUAGUCUUUGCGUCCAUGUUGCGUAUUGAUGCCUAAGGAUGGGACUGCGGCCGAUCAGGCAGUUGGUGAGGUAAAGGCUCACCAAACCUUUGACCGGUACGGGCCGUGAGAGCGGUAGCCCGGAGAUGGGCACUGAGACAGUGGCCCAGGCCCUACGGGGCGCAGCAGGCGCGAAACCUCCACAAUGCACGAAAGUGCGAUGGGGCUACCUCGAGUGCCGCCUGAAGAAGGCGGCUUUUCUAUGGUGUAAUGAGCCAUAGGAAUAAGAGGGGGGCAAGACUGGUGUCAGCCGCCGCGGUAACACCAGCUCCUCGAGUGGUGGGGAUGAUUAUUUGGCCUAAAGCGUCCGUAGCCGGCUAGGUAAGUCUCUCGUUAAAUCCAGCGUCCUAAGCGUUGGGCUGCGAGGGAGACUGCAGAGCUAGAGGAUGGGAGAAGUCAGCGGUAUUUCUGGGGUAGGGGCGAAAUCCUUUGAUCCCAGGAGGACCACCAGUGGCGAAGGCUGCUGACUAGAACAAGUCUGACGGUCAGGGACGAAAGCUGGGGGAGCGAAUCGGAUUAGAUACCCGAGUAGUCCCAGCUGUAAACGAUGCAGGCUAGGUGUUGGAGCGGCCACGCGCCGCUUCAGUGCCACAGGGAAGCCAUUAAGCCUGCCGCCUGGGGAGUACGGCCGCAAGGCUGAAACUUAAAGGAAUUGGCGGGGGAGCACCACCAGGCGUGAAGCCUGCGGUUUAAUUGGAGUCAACGCCGGAAAUCACUAGU
This 957-nucleotide ribosomal RNA is filed under the name uncultured archaeon. RNAcentral describes it as "bacterial SSU rRNA". It matches the Rfam family "Archaeal small subunit ribosomal RNA", at positions 1 to 934 of the family's 1478-position model. The record is from RNAcentral.